Molecule: ribosomal RNA, 244 nt
Filed under: uncultured bacterium
Lineage: Bacteria
Description: partial 16S ribosomal RNA
Rfam family: Bacterial small subunit ribosomal RNA
Source: RNAcentral
AGCAAGCGUUGUUCGGAAUCACUGGGCGUAAAGGGAGUCUAGGCGGUUUGGUAAGUGGGAUGUGAAAUCCCCGGGCUCACCCCGGGACCUGCAUCCCAAACUGCUGAGCUUGAGUACAGGAGAGGGUGGGGGAAUUCCAGGUGUAGCGGUGAAAUGCGUAGAUAUCUGGAGGAACACCGGUGGCGAAGGCGCCCACCUGGCCUGCUACUGACGCUGAAGCUCGAAAGCUAGGGGAGCAAACGGG